CCUACGGGGUGCUGCAGUGGGGAAUAUUGGACAAUGGGCGAAAGCCUGAUCCAGCCAUGCCGCGUGUGUGAAGAAGGCCUUCGGGUUGUAAAGCACUUUCAGUGGGGAAGAAAGCCUUGGGGCUAAUACCCUCGAGGAAGGACAUCACCCACAGAAGAAGCACCGGCUAACUCCGUGCCAGCAGCCGCGGUAAUACGGAGGGUGCGAGCGUUAAUCGGAAUUACUGGGCGUAAAGCGCGCGUAGGCGGUCUUAUAAGCCGGUUGUGAAAGCCCCGGGCUCAACCUGGGAACGGCAUCCGGAACUGUCAGGCUAGAGUGCAGGAGAGGAAGGUAGAAUUCCCGGUGUAGCGGUGAAAUGCGUAGAGAUCGGGAGGAAUACCAGUGGCGAAGGCGGCCUUCUGGACUGACACUGACGCUGAGGUGCGAAAGCGUGGGUAGCAAACAGGAUUAGAUACCCCAGUAGUC
This 465-nucleotide ribosomal RNA is filed under the name Vreelandella stevensii. RNAcentral describes it as "partial 16S ribosomal RNA". It matches the Rfam family "Bacterial small subunit ribosomal RNA", at positions 338 to 795 of the family's 1533-position model. The record is from RNAcentral. Lineage: Bacteria; Pseudomonadati; Pseudomonadota; Gammaproteobacteria; Oceanospirillales; Halomonadaceae.